RNAcentral lists this small RNA (127 nucleotides) under Marmota monax (woodchuck). The record is from RNAcentral. Lineage: Eukaryota; Metazoa; Chordata; Mammalia; Rodentia; Sciuridae.
GCAGGGUAUGGUGGUGCACACCUGUAAUCCCAGCAGCUUGGGAGGCUGAGGCAGGAGGAUUGCAAGUUCAAAGGCAGCUUCAGCAACUUAGCAAGACCUUAAGCAAUUUAGCAAGACACUGUCUCAA